Pan troglodytes (chimpanzee) is the source of this 2596-nucleotide long non-coding RNA. RefSeq lists it as uncharacterized. NCBI's taxonomy places the organism in Eukaryota, Metazoa, Chordata, Mammalia, Primates, Hominidae. The record is from RefSeq and is a predicted model, not a curated record. The transcript is spliced from 5 exons.
GUUCUAGUGAAAGGUAUCUCAAUUCAGAGGUACCUGAAUUAGAGGUACCCACUUAUGGGUGGGUAAAUUACUGCAAGAGAAGAUCAAGGAAGUCACUCGCCAUCUGUGAGGGAGGCAGCGGAGCCCCAGAGGCACUGGGGAGAGGCAGCUGGGCCGCGAGCUUGUGGUUGCAGAUCGGAGCUGGCCAGGUGCUCCUGAAUGCUUUCAUCCAUUUAAGGAACAUUUACGGCACUGUGAGAGAGGAUGCCAAGGAUACCAAGAGACCUGCCAAGGAUACCAAGGAUGCCAAGAGAUCUGAUGCAUAGUCUUACCCUCAAUGGGCUUACAAAGUACUGGGGGGAGACUCCGAUCCAGCCGCUGCCAUGUUGGCCACCAAGGGUAUGGGUUUGGUGGCCUCUGAGCAAAAUGCCUGCCUUUGGCAGGGAGACGGACCUAGCUCUGCUGCUGACCAGCAACGUAGCAUUGGCCAACCAUCCUAAACUUCUUGCAUCCUUAUCCAUAAAGGGCAACACGAGAGCUAUCAUUUAUCACCUGCCUGCAGGGUUUCAGCUGUUUCACAGUCAUUACUAUAGGGAAUUCUCACAACACACUGAAGCCAGUAUUAUUUCCAUUUAACAGAUGGGAAAACUGAAGCUCCAGUAAGCAAGUAGCUUGCCCCGUUCACUCAGUAAGUGGCUGAGGACAGAACUAAAUCCAGCAAUGUUUGGCUUCUAAACCCGAGUUCUUUCCAUUCCUGGAUUCUGCCUCACAGGCCUGUUGUGAAGAUUAAAUGAGAUUUUUAACGCAAAAUGCCCAGAACAAAGGCUGGAUGGCAGCAGUGUCCUGGUGAGAAGUAGCUACUGUGAUCCUGAAGGGUGUCCUCCCUCCACCCAUCGCUCCCCCCACAGCACCACGCACCUCCCACGUGAAACAUGGGGGCUGGUUUUCUCCUUGCAGUAAUUAACCCAUGUGCCAGUGUGUUUAUGGAAAAUAGCUCACUCUGUGUCUUUCAUCUCUAAGGACCCAAUCAUGUUUGGCAAGCAGACUCCCAGAUGCAAGGCCAGGUUCUCUCAGCUAAACAAAGGAGAGGAAAUUAUGCAGGAAAUUCUGACAAAGAAAGCAAUUACUCUGGUCUGACGUCGAUGGGCUACUCGUGCCAACACGGGGCCUUUUUGUCUAAAUUACCUGGGGAUGUGUCUGCAUGCACCCAGGCACGCUCAGUUAUUUUUCUGACUGGCUCUUUCACCAGGGCAGAGAUGCUGUGCUGAGAUGGAAGCGGUGGCAGCUGAAACCUGGAUAAUUAGAGCCGGCCGAACACCUUUUGACAAGGAUCAUAAAGACUUUUGCAAACAUUAAUUAAUGUCCCCACCCGGUGAAGAAAGAGCAACUUAUUUUCCAAGUGCAUCAAGGGAAGGCCUAGGCAAUAAGGUCCUGAUGGAUUUUCAACAAUAAGCUGAAAGGCUCUUUCAGAUUCCAAUUUCUUAGUGAGAAAAAAAGCCAAAGCCAAACAAUUCCUAAAAUGGCAAAAACCAGUUCUCCCAGUGCCCCAGCAGGCCUGCUGGGCCGUUCACCUUUGCUUUCAAACAUCCAGUUCCGAGGCAGACGCGAAACCCUGCAUCCUCCAGCUUGGCUCCCUCAGGCCUGGACCCCCCCUGACACCCACAUGAAAGAGGAAAAGAGGCGCUUCCCCAUCUCUGCACAGCUCACCAUCAGAGAUCCGAGCUGCUCGGCCCUCUCCCCUCACCCUGGGCUCCCCUUUUUGCCCUGUUCCAAAGCUUCCCGCCUUCGAUCUCAUAAGGCGGCCACCUGGCCCCUCAGCCCCAUGUGUGGCUUUGACCUUCACUCGCUCCUUGGUCACUGUCCCAGGCUCCAUCUGGUUUGAGCUGACCUGCGUGAAUGCCCCACCCGGCGAGUGGCUCGCCCAGCCAUGUGUCACCCCAUGCCUGCCUGCUGGGCAAGUGAUACCAGCUCAAACGCGCGCAGACCUGUCUGCUUUUCUUGUGGUUCUCUCUGCUCAGCACUGGCCUGCUUCCUGUGGGCAGCAUCACUCUCCUUCAUGAGUGCCCAUCCCUGGGCUGCUCUCACUGGACGAUGGAGUGCAGGCUUCUGCUGUAACCACUGAAUUCCACCUCCGUUUCCAACCGGCCGUGUUGACUAUUCCCAGAAGUUUCCCCGAAUGAACUCUGACCGCAUCAAAGGGAGUUUACAAAACAGGGUCAAAGCUUCAUACGCCUUGGGUCUUUCUUGUCACACUCAACUAAAACAGAGUCCAGAGGUUGCGGGUAAAGCGCUUGAGGCACAAGACGUUCCUUCAAGCAUACGAUUCUCUGCAGACCUGGCUGCUGGAACUGCCAGGUGUAACCUGAAACCAGUUUUAUCUAACAGCCACUGGAACAACCUGCUGAAAUCUAACCCCAUCACCCACAAAUCAGUGUUCGCCAGCAUCCCCAAAACCUUACUAGUGCCAAGGAACUUUAUUUCAAAACAAUACACAGCAUUUCUCCUCUUCAUAAAACCUCCAACCUUCUCUGUUCUUUGGACAUACGAGAGGCCACCGUUCUGUGUCUAUCCCCCGAACUGCAGUUGUUGCUUCCCAAAUAAAACAUGUUAAACUCAG